AGUGAACGCUGGCGGUAGGCCUAACACAUGCAAGUCGAACGGCAGCACAGUAAGAGCUUGCUCUUACGGGUGGCGAGUGGCGGGCGGGUGAGGAAUACAUCGGAAUCUACUUUUUCGUGGGGGAUAACGUAGGGAAACUUACGCUAAUACCGCAUACGACCUACGGGUGAAAGCAGGGGAUCUUCGGACCUUGCGCGAUUGAAUGAGCCGAUGUCGGAUUAGCUAGUUGGCGGGGUAAAGGCCCACCAAGGCGACGAUCCGUAGCUGGUCUGAGAGGAUGAACAGCCACACUGGAACUGAGACACGGUCCAGACUCCUACGGGAGGCAGCAGUGGGGAAUAUUGGACAAUGGGCGCAAGCCUGAUCCAGCCAUACCGCGUGGGUGAAGAAGGCCUUCGGGUUGUAAAGCCCUUUUGUUGGGAAAGAAAAGCAGCAGGUUAAUACCCCGCUGUUCUGACGGUACCCAAAGAAUAAGCACCGGCUAACUUCGUG
RNAcentral lists this ribosomal RNA (492 nucleotides) under uncultured bacterium. RNAcentral describes it as "partial 16S ribosomal RNA". It matches the Rfam family "Bacterial small subunit ribosomal RNA", at positions 29 to 507 of the family's 1533-position model. The record is from RNAcentral.